This 253-nucleotide ribosomal RNA is filed under the name uncultured bacterium. Its description in RNAcentral is "partial 16S ribosomal RNA". It matches the Rfam family "Archaeal small subunit ribosomal RNA", at positions 474 to 727 of the family's 1478-position model. The record is from RNAcentral.
UACCAGCACCCCGAGUGGUCGGGACGUCUAUUGGGCCUAAAGCAUCCGUAGCCGGUUCUACAAGUCUUCCGUUAAAUCCACCUGCUUAACAGAUGGGCUGCGGAAGAUACUAUAGAGCUAGGAGGCGGGAGAGGCAAGCGGUACUCGAUGGGUAGGGGUAAAAUCCGUUGAUCCAUUGAAGACCACCAGUGGCGAAGGCGGCUUGCCAGAACGCGCUCGACGGUGAGGGAUGAAAGCUGGGGGAGCAAACCGG